This 552-nucleotide ribosomal RNA is filed under the name uncultured Acidobacteriota bacterium. RNAcentral's name for it is "bacterial SSU rRNA". It matches the Rfam family "Bacterial small subunit ribosomal RNA", at positions 355 to 897 of the family's 1533-position model. Lineage: Bacteria; Pseudomonadati; Acidobacteriota. The record is from RNAcentral.
UGGGGAAUUUUUCGCAAUGGGCGCAAGCCUGACGAAGCAACGCCGCGUGGAGGAUGAAGGCCUUCGGGUCGUAAACUCCUGUCGACCGGGACGAAAGUCGUCCGGCCCAAUACGCCGGGCGAUUGACUGUACCGGUGGAGGAAGCUCCGGCUAACUCUGUGCCAGCAGCCGCGGUAAUACAGAGGGAGCAAGCGUUGUUCGGAAUUACUGGGCGUAAAGGGCGCGUAGGCGGUUCACUAAGUCCCGUGUGAAAUCCCUCGGCUCAACUGAGGAAUGGCACGGAAAACUGGUGGACUUGAGUUUGGGAGAGGGAAGCGGAAUUCCGGGUGUAGCGGUGAAAUGCGUAGAUAUCCGGAGGAACACCGGUGGCGAAGGCGGCUUCCUGGACCAAAACUGACGCUGAGGCGCGAAAGCUAGGGGAGCAAACGGGAUUAGAUACCCCGGUAGUCCUAGCCGUAAACGAUGAGCGCUGGGUGUAGGGGGUAUUAACCCCCCCUGUGCCGAAGCUAACGCAUUAAGCGCUCCGCCUGGGGAGUACGGUCGCAAGGCUGA